GAAGAUAAUUAAUUUUAAUAAAAAUAAUUUUUUAUGUUUUAGUAAGAAAUAAAAAAAAAUAUUUUAAAUUUUAUAGUAAAAAGUAAUGAAAAUGAAUAAAUUAAAAGUGAAAUUUAAAUUUUAAAAAAGAAAAAUUAAGUUUUUGUUCCUUGUGUAUCAGGAUUGAUUAAAUAAAAAAAAAAUAAUUAAUUUUUAUUUAUAAUUUUAAAAAUUUAAAAAUUUUUUAAUUUUUAAUGUGAAAAAAUUAUUAAUAAAAAAUUUUUGAAAAUUAAAAGUUAGAUUGAUUUAAAAGUUAUAUAAUUUUAAAAGAAAUAAAUUUAAUUUAAUUAUAAUAAAUUAUAAAAAAUUAUUUAUUUUUAAAAUAAAAAUUUUAUUUUUUUUUAUAAAAAUAAUUUUAGGGAUGAGCUUAAAAUUAAAAUUUUAAAAAAUAAAAAUAUUUGUAAAAAAAUUUAUACAAAAAAAUAAAAAAUAUUUUUAAAAAUUAAAAUUUUAAAUUAAAAUAUUUUAAUUAAUUUGAUUUUUUUUUAUAUUUUUUUAAUUUAAAUUUAAAUUUUUAAUUUAAAAAUAAUUUUAAUUUUAAAAAUUAUUUUAUAAUUAUUAAAUUAGUAAAUAAAAUAAUGAAUUAUUAUAUAAUUAAAUUUUAAAUGAUAAGAAAUUUAAUAUUUUGAUUUAAAAAAAAAAAAUAAUAGAAUUUAAAUUUUAUAAAUUAGGCAAAAUUUUGUUUUUAAUUGUUUAUCAAAAACAUUGUUUUUAAAAAUUUUUAUAAAAUAAGAUCUGCUCACUGAAGUUAAAAUUUUAAAGAGCUGCAGUAUAUUGACUGUACAAAGGUAGCAUAAUCAUUUGUUUUUUAAUUGAAAACUUGUAUGAAAGAUUAAAUAAAAAAUAAUCUUUAUUAAAUUUAAAUUAAUUGAAUUUGUUUUUUUAAUAAAAAAAUUAAAAUAAAAAAAAAAGACGAUAAGACCCUAUAAAGCUUUAUAUUAAAUUUUUAUUUUAUUUUUAUAAAAAUUUAAUAAAUAAAUAUUAAUUAAAUAUUAGAUUGGGGUGAUAUAAAGAUUUAUAAAAUUCUUUAAAGAAUUAAAUCAAAAUUAAUUGUUUAUAAAAAUUUUAUAAAAUUUUUUGAUCUUAGUUAAAAAUUAAUAAAAUAAGUUACUUUAGGGAUAACAGCGUAAUUUUUUUUGAGAGUUCUUAUUGAUAGAAAAGUUUGCGACCUCGAUGUUGGAUUAAGAAAUAAUUUUUAAUGAAGAUGUUAAAGUUUUAAGUCUGUUCGACUUAUAAAAUCUUACAUGAUCUGAGUUCAAAUCGGUUUAAGCCAGGUUGGUUUUUAUCUUUUUUAUUUUUAUUUUAUAUUUUAGUACGAAAGGAAUAAAUAUAAUAAAUUUUUUUAUUUUGAAUUAUAAAAGAAUAUUAUUAAAUGUAAUAGAAAAUUAAAA
RNAcentral lists this ribosomal RNA (1430 nucleotides) under Diptera sp. 77 LC-2017. RNAcentral describes it as "16S ribosomal RNA". Lineage: Eukaryota; Metazoa; Arthropoda; Insecta; Diptera. The record is from RNAcentral.